Molecule: unclassified non-coding RNA, 360 nt
Filed under: Hevea brasiliensis (rubber tree)
Lineage: Eukaryota; Viridiplantae; Streptophyta; Magnoliopsida; Malpighiales; Euphorbiaceae
Source: RNAcentral
UGAUUUCUUAAGACCAGUGAGUACCAGCACCUUGUUUUUCUUUUUUCAUUUUCACCAGUUAUUAGCAUUGAGUUUAUUGUAAUUGCAUCUCCCAAAUGAAGUGAAAACCCAUCUACAUGUCUUUAAUCAUCUAAUUCAACUGUUACUGUGUCUUAUUUGAAAUUGAAAUUACAGAUAGUGGUUCUAAGUUAGGUGCCUUCUGCAAGCAUGAAGACAUGUGCAUGAGAGAGAGAGAGGAUCUAUAGGUUUAGGAUUUGUAUUUACAGACUGCACAAGCUGCACGUUGUUUACAGCCUCCUACCAUAAAAGCUUACAUGAGAAUAUGUUUGUUGAACAGGUGGAUGUUGGAGACUUCCUGCG